AUUCUCUUUCUCACCUUUCUGGUAACUUUUAGGUAUGUAUCUAUAUUGGCCAGGGCAGACUAGGUCAUGCUGUGGAAACAAAACACUCUAAAAUCUCGACGGCUUAACACAACAGCAAACAUUUUUUUCUUGCUCAAGAAAAAACCUACCUACUGCAGAUCCAGCUGACCCUCCUAUCCUUCAUGCAGCAACUCCACAAUCCAGGCUGCUUUGACCUUAUGGUGCCAUCACCUAAAUAUGAGGCAUUCCGCAAGAUCACUUCAGCUGCAAUGAGCUGCUUCAGCCCAGGAGUGACACGUGCCCCUUACAGUCACAGCCUGUUGGCCAGGACAGCUAUCCAGCCUCACUUGGCUGCCAGAGGAGAGAAAUGUGAUCCUUCCAUGUGCCCAGGAGAGGAGCACAGAUACGCGGAUAUGGGGUGCAAGAGAUUCAGACUCUCUGUGCUCUCCUUCAGCAAGGCACAGGUUGAACUCAGGAAAAGUAAGUCAGAGAUUAAAUAAAUGUCUUCAUAUAAAGGUGUGAGUUUACAAAGAAGAAUCAAAUGAGGAACCCAAGCAACUGUUGCUUUCACAUAACUUGGAGGUUUCUAAGGCAGUGUUUCUCAAUGUCAAGAUGUCACGUUUCAAAAGACAACCUGAAUUCUCAGAUGAUUUCAAUGCAAGAUUAAUUUUCACUUGCCUCCAUUUUACAAAUAAGUAAAUGCCAUACUGUGAUCUUGUUCUCUUUUUUACUGGAGGGAGGCAUGUCUUGGAUUCAAAGAAAUAAUGACAAGGUAUUUCCACUCUCCCUAAGACUGGUAACACCAGUGUACAGCCCUGGAAGGAAAGAUAUAAAGCAGGAGAAAUAAGGCUACUGGGGACAGAUUUCAACAUCAGCAAA
Molecule: long non-coding RNA, 879 nt
Organism: Pan paniscus (pygmy chimpanzee)
Lineage: Eukaryota; Metazoa; Chordata; Mammalia; Primates; Hominidae
Source: Ensembl